UUGGGGGAUAAAGUAUUUUCUGGAGCAGCCCUUAAUGUUUUAAUAUAAAAAAAUAUCUAUUUCAAGUUGAUAAACACAAAAAAAUCCUGUGAUAUAGUCUAUAUUACUCCAAUCCAGGUUUUACCCUUGUUCUAUGUGUAUGUUACAUACAAACGUAUAAAAAAGAAAAGAUGUGGUGUUAAGUUUGCCAAUGAGACAAUUCUCCACCAGAGACCUAAUGAUGUAGAUGUUAAUGAUAAACCACACAUUGAAAUGCCUACCUGCUCAUUCUGGAUAUGACAUGAAAUUUCAUUAUUGAAACGAAAACAAAUGUAGAGUUUAGUAUGACGUCCAUCAUCACUGAACUAGUACAUAUUUUUGUUUAGGGACCAGC
This 373-nucleotide long non-coding RNA is filed under the name Mytilus galloprovincialis (Mediterranean mussel). Lineage: Eukaryota; Metazoa; Mollusca; Bivalvia; Mytilida; Mytilidae. The record is from RNAcentral.